Non-coding RNA from Circinella umbellata, 73 nucleotides. NCBI's taxonomy places the organism in Eukaryota, Fungi, Mucoromycota, Mucoromycetes, Mucorales, Lichtheimiaceae. The record is from the annotation of a GenBank genome assembly.
GGGCAUGUGGCCAAAUGGAUAAGGCGCCUGACUACGAAUCAGGAGAUCGUAGGUUCGACCCCUACCUUGCUCA